RNAcentral lists this ribosomal RNA (1258 nucleotides) under Helicoma longisporum. Its description in RNAcentral is "LSU rRNA". It matches the Rfam family "Eukaryotic large subunit ribosomal RNA", at positions 75 to 1745 of the family's 3401-position model. Lineage: Eukaryota; Fungi; Ascomycota; Dothideomycetes; Tubeufiales; Tubeufiaceae. The record is from RNAcentral.
UUGCCUUAGUAACGGCGAGUGAAGCGGCAAUAGCUCAAAUUUGAAAUCUGGCUCUUUUAGAGUCCGAGUUGUAAUUUGUAGAAGAUGCUUCGGCUUACGUACCGGUCUAAGUUCCUUGGAACAGGACGUCACAGAGGGUGAGAAUCCCGUUUGUGGCCGGUACUUCCGCUAUGUGAAGCUCCUUCGACGAGUCGAGUUGUUUGGGAAUGCAGCUCUAAAUGGGAGGUAAAUUUCUUCUAAAGCUAAAUAUUGGCCAGAGACCGAUAGCGCACAAGUAGAGUGAUCGAAAGAUGAAAAGCACUUUGGAAAGAGAGUUAAAAAGUACGUGAAAUUGUUGAAAGGGAAGCGCUUGCGACCAGACUUGUCUUUAGUUGCUCCGCCGGUCCUUCGACCGGUGUAUUCUUCUAUUGUCAGGCCAGCAUCAGUUUGGGUGGUUGGAUAAAGGCAUUGGGAAUGUGACUCUCUUCGGGGAGUGUUAUAGCCCUUUGUGCAAUACAGCCUAUCUAGACUGAGGACCGCGCUUCGGCUAGGAUGCUGGCGUAAUGGUCGUAAGCGGCCCGUCUUGAAACACGGACCAAGGAGUCUAACAUCUAUGCGAGUGUUUGGGUGUCAAACCCGUGCGCGAAAUGAAAGUGAACGGAGGUGGGAACCUUUGGGUGCACCAUCGACCGAUCCUGAUGUCUUCGGAUGGAUUUGAGUAAGAGCAUAGCUGUUGGGACCCGAAAGAUGGUGAACUAUGCCUGAAUAGGGUGAAGCCAGAGGAAACUCUGGUGGAGGCUCGCAGCGGUUCUGACGUGCAAAUCGAUCGUCAAAUUUGGGUAUAGGGGCGAAAGACUAAUCGAACCAUUAAAAAAAAUAACUUAGUUACUAGGUGGUUAAGAGGCGGCUAAAAGUGCCCGUCUAGUCCCUUCAUUCGGGGCAACACCGUCAAAUUGCGGGGACUUCCUUAGAGCUUGAACUACCGCGACUACAUUGAAAAAUGUGGUGCAGCACCGGGUUAAUUACCUAGGGGAUGGUAAAAAUGUUCAAGAUUGGUUAAUCCGCAGCCAAGUCCUAAGUCAAUUUAUGUAUUGAUAUGGAUGCAGUUCACAGACUAGAUGUCGGUGGGUAUAAUUAUUUAGUAAUUAUGCUUAAGGUAUAGUCGGUUCCCUAUGGAAACAUAGGCAGUAAAUCAAAGCCUUUAGGCAGGAUGACCCUCUAUAUAUUUUUAAGAGGUGUGCCUAAUAGCCCGAAAUUUACUGGGGUGUCCUACAAUUUU